GAGGACCUGCCCUGUUUGUGAUAGGUGAAAAAGUUGAUCCGGCAAAUUAGAUCUUUUGGGAGCCUGCGUAAGGAGUCGGUGUGCAUGCCCUGCACUUUUUUGAAAGUGCGGGGAAGCCUGAAGCCUCCUUCAGGGCACCCACCUAUUUUAUAGGCGGAUCUAAUUCUCUCCUUACACGGCAGGGCGGGUUUAAG
RNAcentral lists this non-coding RNA (194 nucleotides) under Nitrospirota bacterium. RNAcentral describes it as "Nitrospirae bacterium (groundwater metagenome) 6S RNA". It matches the Rfam family "6S / SsrS RNA". Rfam says of the family: E. coli 6S RNA was the first non coding RNA to be sequenced, but its function was unknown until recently. It consists of 184 nucleotides that fold into an extended hairpin structure with a large single-stranded internal bulge. Lineage: Bacteria; Pseudomonadati; Nitrospirota. The record is from RNAcentral.